GUUUUGUGAAGGUUAAAAGGAGGUUUAAGGUCCGUUGCUAUGCCUUGCCCUCUUCCACUUUGAUGACUCUGGUGCAUGGUGCUGGUUUGCCCUGCCAGCCGGGAAGGGGCUCCUGGAGGUUGCUGGUCAUCAGGCAGUGCCUUCCCCUCACCCACCAGCUGGCGCCUAUCCCACAGGGCUUUACUCGAACACACACAAGAAAUUCAAGGUUAACAUUUCAUAUGGUUUUCAAAUGGGCAACAAAACACUGUUACAAGUAGGGCAGUGGCGAUAUCAAAUUAAUUCAAAUGAAUGUUCACCAAAAGCCAGUACCACAAGUAUUACAUUUUUUAUUAUUUAGUUUUGACGAGUUUGUUCUCAUGUUUUUUUGGUGUGGUCUACAUCACUCCUUCUGUGCUAUGUACCUUUCCCAGUUCUCUCACACACACACACACACACACAGUCCCGCACCCUGCCACUCACAACAAGGAUGAAAGACCACUUCUCCCUCUGACAGUUUCAACUCUAUUUGCAUUUGAGGUUUGGUCCAACAGAAUCAGUCAUAUGGACACCGAAACAGACAUUUGACUGGAAAACGUAAAAUGUUUAUGUCUGAAUUCUCAAAAUUGAGCGCAGAGCAGACCCUACUAAAACGGGAGUAUCGAUUAACAUUCAUUCUGGAAAAUUAAAUGCUCAGUUUGUCGUGCACGGCAUUACAGUACUAUGUACCGCUAGCAGCAUUUUAUCCAGAGUGUUGUGCUAGCAGUCUAGUCUGUGUUUUAUACAUUUGCAAUGUGCAUAAAGAGGCAUUUAUACAAGGAAUUGUCAACUCGUUCUCAUUCUGAGAAAUAAGCAUCUUAUCCAGGUAGACCACUUGAUUUCAACAUCUAAACAAAGUGGACAGGCUGGUAUGCUGUUCAAACAGGUGGAAACGGACAGAAGGCUGUGUUCAUAACAGUUCAACUGUUCUACCUUGAUACCUAGCAAAUAUAUCCAAGUUCGCUAGACUUCAAAUAUAAAGAUUAGCUGACUUCUCACGAACACGUGGGUUGAGAGAUUGUGUUGAUUUUCUAUAAUGCACCUGCUAAUCACCUGCUACAAGAAGUUGGUCAUUAUUAGUGGAAGUGCACGGUUCUGUUAAAAUUUCUAACAAAAAUUGCAUUUUCAUAGACUGACAUGACAGCCAGAUGUGAUUAUUGCAAAAAGGCAGGUUAAACUAUUUUUAUAAAAUAAUGUAAUUAGUAGUGGGUCUUAUGGUUGUGGACUGUUUAUAUUUAGCCUAGGUAUACUUUUACAAGCUCUGAAAUCAUUACACUAUUUGAAAUGAAGUGUAUUGACCUUUAGUUGUACAACAAAGCUUAGAGAGAAAAAAAGAAGAUGAUACAUAUCAUGAAUCGCCCAUAUGGAAAUAGUUAAAACAUUGUUUUAAAAACAGUCUAAUAGCAAAAAUUGGACACCAUAAAAAAAAAGCUAUUAUCAAGCAUCAGCCCAAUGUAUUGUUAGCAACAAGUAUUACGCACUGAAACAUAUAUAUUUUGAUGUCUUCUGACGACUAUAAAUCCAGAAAACCAAACAACGCAUAUGCCAGUAAAUGCUUUUAUGUACCAGCAAGCAUGUGCCUACAUGAUUAGGCUUUCUAUGUCUAUGAGCACCAUUCAGUCAAAAGCAGUUCCCCAGGUAAGCUCAUUGACAAAUUAAUCUUGUAAUGAGAGAACUCAUCCUUCCGGCACCACAUUACUGGUUAUGACUCAAUAUAAUAUGGUCAUUAAUAACUACAAUAGUUCACAGCAGUACAUCCAGAGUUCAUUCAAAGCCAUCUAUAAAGAGAGUUCAGGCUAACUUGGAAAACUACUAGUCACUUGGCAACGAACAUGGAGGAGAGUUGAGGUGCUGCCAGUGGCGAUUGAAGUCACAUGACACCCUUUUAACCAAUCAAAUUAUGUUUAAGUGAUAAUCCACAGAAACCUACAAUCUGACAUAAACAGCAAGGACCAAACUCUCCACAUAUGGCUCUUAUUACAUACAUUUGCACAUUGGAUUGGAGAAAAACAAAAAACAAAUGGAUUCAAAUCAAAUUACCUGUAUUUACAGUGGAUGGCUCACCUUCAUGCCAUCCUCCGGCCCCUUGACGGAGGGCUCGGGGGCCAAGGGGGGUGGAGUGGGGGGCUCGCGCCCAGGGUUGGGAUAAGGGGGAGCGGAUGAUGACGGUCUUGUUGACCUGCAUGACAGGUCUCUGGAUGGGGGUGGGGAAGGGGCCGGUGGUGGGGGACGCAUGUGCAUAACCAUGCUGCCCUGAGGAGGAGGGACCUAGAGGGCGGAGGCGGCAGGCAGGGAAAUACACACACUGUUAGCAUGGCAACAUGGCUCAGUAUAUCUGCAUGGUUAUCUUUAGGCAAACCUUGGGGGUAGUGGAGACUUGUGCAAGGCCGCAAAUAUUUUCCACAGAAAGAAUACCAAAAUUAUAUGUAAUAAUAUUGCUUUAUGCUCAUGACUCAAAAGUACCUCAAGGUCUUGAGUGGCCGUUUUACCAUUGUGUGAGAGCAGUUCAAGGUAGCUGCAUGACAACACUGAUCAGUCAUUUAAAAUGGUGCAACAACAUCAGUGAUUUAAAUAAAGCAGAAUGAUUGAGUGUGAGGUUUCUAUAACCUUGCCGUGGAGGGGGCACAGCGGGGCCUCAAACCAGCCGGUGGCCGGGUCUCUGUAGCAGCAACUACAGGUCAGGCCAGGGCCACUGCAGGCCCAGCCUCGUUGCUGAACAGCCUGCAUGGAGGUCGUCUUCUGUUUCCAAUGAAAUGGGAGGGGGAGGCUAUAUGAGUGUGUGUGUAUAAGCAGCUGGGAUUGUUUGAGUCAUGACCGUUUGUGUGUGUGUGUCAUGCCUGCUAGUGUCAGAGCAGUGUGCAGUGCCUGUAAAAUUGUGUUUGUUCAUAUGAAAGUGUGUGAAGUGCUCUGGAGGACCUUGAUUGAUUGUAGAGUGUGAGCAAUAACUAGUGCGACCAUUGUGUGUGUAUGUACCUAAUGUGUGUAUGACUAUGUGUUGGGUCAUACCUGCUGGGUGUAAUGUCCAGGCACGGGGCCAGACGGCUUCCCACUGGGGCUGGCAGACCCUGGUCUG
This is a long non-coding RNA of Oncorhynchus tshawytscha (Chinook salmon), 3091 nucleotides long. NCBI's taxonomy places the organism in Eukaryota, Metazoa, Chordata, Actinopteri, Salmoniformes, Salmonidae. The record is from Ensembl.